Molecule: long non-coding RNA, 228 nt
Filed under: Vigna radiata
Lineage: Eukaryota; Viridiplantae; Streptophyta; Magnoliopsida; Fabales; Fabaceae
Description: long non-coding RNA (VRAD_LNC004833)
Source: RNAcentral
AAAUGGGGCCAAGGAAAAGGGAGGAUAAAUAUGGAUAAGAAGCUACAAACCAAAAGGAAUAGAGGAGCAAUGGGGAAUAAAUGAAAACACAGUNAAAUCACACCCAAAACCCUCUAAUUCAAUCCUCUUCUUGAUUCCAUUAUUCACAUAAGUUUUUUUUUUAAUUUUCUUAUUUUUCUGUAUUUUUUUUUUCUUUUUUUUUUUUCAUCUUGUCUCUUUUCUUUUCUC